This 921-nucleotide ribosomal RNA is filed under the name uncultured archaeon. RNAcentral describes it as "bacterial SSU rRNA". It matches the Rfam family "Archaeal small subunit ribosomal RNA", at positions 1 to 923 of the family's 1478-position model. The record is from RNAcentral.
UUUCCGGUUGAUCCUGCCGGAGGCCUUUGCUAUUGGGAUCCGAUUUAGCCAUGCUAGUCGUACGAGUUUAGACUCGUGGCGAAUAGCUCAGUAACACGUGGCCAAACUACCCUUCGGACCGCAAUACCCUCGGGAAACUGAGGCUAAUAGCGGACACCACACGCAGACUGGAAUGUCGCGUGUGUCAAACGCUCCGGCGCCGAAGGAUGUGGCUGCGGCCGAUUAGGUAGACGGUGGGGUAACGGCCCACCGUGCCAAUAAUCGGUACGGGUCAUGAGAGUGAGAACCCGGAGACGGAAUCUGAGACAAGAUUCCGGGCCCUACGGGGCGCAGCAGGCGCGAAACCUUUACACUGCACGCCAGUGCGAUAAGGGGAUCCCAAGUGCGUAGGCAUAGAGCCUACGCUUUUGUCCACCCUAGGGUGGUGGACGAAUAAGGGCUGGGCAAGACCGGUGCCAGCCGCCGCGGUAAUACCGGCAGCCCGAGUGAUGGCCGAUCUUAUUGGGCCUAAAGCGUCCGUAGCUGGCCGCACAAGUCCAUCGGGAAAUCCACCUGCUCAACAGGUGGGCGUCCGGUGGAAACUGUGUGGCUUGGGACCGGAAGGCGCGACGGGUACGUCCGGGGUAGGAGUGAAAUCCUGUAAUCCUGGACGGACCGCCGAUGGCGAAAGCACGUCGCGAAAACGGAUCCGACAGUGAGGGACGAAAGCUAGGGUCUCGAACCGGAUUAGAUACCCGGGUAGUCCUAGCCGUAAACACUGCCUGCUAGGUGUGGCACCCACUACGAGUGGGUGCUGUGCCGUAGGGAAGCCGCUAAGCAGGCCGCCUGGGAAGUACGUCCGCAAGGAUGAAACUUAAAGGAAUUGGCGGGGGAGCACUACAACCGGAGGAGCCUGCGGUUUAAUUGGAUUCAACGCCGGAA